GACGAACGCUGGCGGCGUGCUUAACACAUGCAAGUCGAACGGAAAGGCCCUGCUUUUGUGGGGUGCUCGAGUGGCGAACGGGUGAGUAACACGUGAGUAACCUGCCCUUGACUUUGGGAUAACUUCAGGAAACUGGGGCUAAUACCGGAUAGGAGCUCCUGCUGCAUGGUGGGGGUUGGAAAGUUUCGGCGGUUGGGGAUGGACUCGCGGCUUAUCAGCUUGUUGGUGGGGUAGUGGCUUACCAAGGCUUUGACGGGUAGCCGGCCUGAGAGGGUGACCGGCCACAUUGGGACUGAGAUACGGCCCAGACUCCUACGGGAGGCAGCAGUGGGGAAUAUUGCACAAUGGGCGGAAGCCUGAUGCAGCGACGCCGCGUGCGGGAUGACGGCCUUCGGGUUGUAAACCGCUUUCGCCUGUGACGAAGCGUGAGUGACGGUAAUGGGUAAAGAAGCACCGGCUAACUACGUGCCAGCAGCCGCGGUGAUACGUAGGGUGCGAGCGUUGUCCGGAUUUAUUGGGCGUAAAGGGCUCGUAGGUGGUUGAUCGCGUCGGAAGUGUAAUCUUGGGGCUUAACCCUGAGCGUGCUUUCGAUACGAGUUGACUUGAGGAAGGUAGGGGAGAAUGGAAUUCCUGGUGGAGCGGUGGAAUGCGCAGAUAUCAGGAGGAACACCAGUGGCGAAGGCGGUUCUCUGGGCCUUUCCUGACGCUGAGGAGCGAAAGCGUGGGGAGCGAACAGGCUUAGAUACCCUGGUAGUCCACGCUGUAAACGGUGGGUACUAGGUGUGGGGUCCAUUCCACGGGUUCCGUGCCGUAGCUAACGCUUUAAGUACCCCGCCUGGGGAGUACGGCCGCAAGGCUAAAACUCAAAGGAAUUGACGGGGCCCCGCACAAGCGGCGGAGCAUGCGGAUUAAUUCGAUGCAACGCGUAGAACCUUACCUGGGUUUGACAUGGAUCGGGAGCGCUCAGAGAUGGGUGUGCCUCUUUUGGGGUCGGUUCACAGGUGGUGCAUGGCUGUCGUCAGCUCGUGUCGUGAGAUGUUGGGUUAAGUCCCGCAACGAGCGCAACCCUUGUUCACUGUUGCCAGCACGUUAUGGUGGGGACUCAGUGGAGACCGCCGGGGUCAACUCGGAGGAAGGUGGGGAUGACGUCAAGUCAUCAUGCCCCUUAUGUCCAGGGCUUCACGCAUGCUACAAUGGCUGGUACAGAGAGUGGCGAGCCUGUGAGGGUGAGCGAAUCUCGGAAAGCCGGUCUCAGUUCGGAUUGGGGUCUGCAACUCGACCUCAUGAAGUCGGAGUCGCUAGUAAUCGCAGAUCAGCAACGCUGCGGUGAAUACGUUCCCGGGGCU
Molecule: ribosomal RNA, 1346 nt
Filed under: uncultured bacterium
Lineage: Bacteria
Description: bacterial SSU rRNA
Rfam family: Bacterial small subunit ribosomal RNA
Source: RNAcentral